UUUUAUGGAGAGUUUGAUCCUGGCUCAGAGUGAACGCUGGCGGCGUGCCUAAUACAUGCAAGUCGAACGAUGAAGCUUCUAGCUUGCUAGAAUGCUGAUUAGUGGCGCACGGGUGAGUAACGCAUAGGUUAUGUGCCUCUUAGUUUGGGAUAGCCAUUGGAAACGAUGAUUAAUACCAGAUACUCCCUACGGGGGAAAGAUUUAUCGCUAAGAGAUCAGCCUAUGUCCUAUCAGCUUGUUGGUAAGGUAAUGGCUUACCAAGGCUAUGACGGGUAUCCGGCCUGAGAGGGUGAACGGACACACUGGAACUGAGACACGGUCCAGACUCCUACGGGAGGCAGCAGUAGGGAAUAUUGCUCAAUGGGGGAAACCCUGAAGCAGCAACGCCGCGUGGAGGAUGAAGGUUUUAGGAUUGUAAACUCCUUUUGUUAGAGAAGAUAAUGACGGUAUCUAACGAAUAAGCACCGGCUAACUCCGUGCCAGCAGCCGCGGUAAUACGGAGGGUGCAAGCGUUACUCGGAAUCACUGGGCGUAAAGAGCGCGUAGGCGGGAUAGUCAGUCAGGUGUGAAAUCCUAUGGCUUAACCAUAGAACUGCAUUUGAAACUACUAUUCUAGAGUGUGGGAGAGGUAGGUGGAAUUCUUGGUGUAGGGGUAAAAUCCGUAGAGAUCAAGAGGAAUACUCAUUGCGAAGGCGACCUGCUGGAACAUUACUGACGCUGAUUGCGCGAAAGCGUGGGGAGCAAACAGGAUUAGAUACCCUGGUAGUCCACGCCCUAAACGAUGGAUGCUAGUUGUUGGAGGGCUUAGUCUUUCCAGUAAUGCAGCUAACGCAUUAAGCAUCCCGCCUGGGGAGUACGGUCGCAAGAUUAAAACUCAAAGGAAUAGACGGGGACCCGCACAAGCGGUGGAGCAUGUGGUUUAAUUCGAAGAUACACGAAGAACCUUACCUAGGCUUGACAUUGAGAGAAUCCGCUAGAAAUAGUGGAGUGUCUGGCUUGCCAGACCUUGAAAACAGGUGCUGCACGGCUGUCGUCAGCUCGUGUCGUGAGAUGUUGGGUUAAGUCCCGCAACGAGCGCAACCCCCUUUCUUAGUUGCUAACAGGUCAUGCUGAGAACUCUAAGGAUACUGCCUCCGUAAGGAGGAGGAAGGUGGGGACGACGUCAAGUCAUCAUGGCCCUUACGCCUAGGGCUACACACGUGCUACAAUGGGGUGCACAAAGAGAAGCAAUACUGCGAAGUGGAGCCAAUCUUCAAAACACCUCUCAGUUCGGAUUGUAGGCUGCAACUCGCCUGCAUGAAGCUGGAAUCGCUAGUAAUCGCAAAUCAGCCAUGUUGCGGUGAAUACGUUCCCGGGUCUUGUACUCACCGCCCGUCACACCAUGGGAGUUGUGUUUGCCUUAAGUCAGGAUGCUAAAUUGGCUACUGCCCACGGCACACACAGCGACUGGGGUGAAGUCGUAACAAGGUAACCGUAGGUGAACCUGCGGUUGGAUCACCUCCUUUCUAGA
RNAcentral lists this ribosomal RNA (1510 nucleotides) under Helicobacter pylori. Its description in RNAcentral is "bacterial SSU rRNA". It matches the Rfam family "Bacterial small subunit ribosomal RNA". The record is from RNAcentral. Lineage: Bacteria; Pseudomonadati; Campylobacterota; Epsilonproteobacteria; Campylobacterales; Helicobacteraceae.